GACGAACGCUGGCGGCGUGCCUAAUACAUGCAAGCAGAACGCUGAAGGAGGAGCUUGCUUCUCUGGAUGAGUUGCGAACGGGUGAGUAACGCGUAGGUAACCUGCCUGGUAGCGGGGGAUAACCAUUGGAAACGAUAGCUAAUACCGCAUAAUAGUAGAUGUUGCAUGACAUUUACUUAAAAGGUGCAAUUGCAUCACUACCAGAUGGACCUGCGUUGUAUUAGCUAGUUGGUGGGGUAACGGCUCACCAAGGCGACGAUACAUAGCCGACCUGAGAGGGUGAUCGGCCACACUGGGACUGAGACACGGCCCAGACUCCUACGGGAGGCAGCAGUAGGGAAUCUUCGGCAAUGGACGGAAGUCUGACCGAGCAACGCCGCGUGAGUGAAGAAGGUUUUCGGAUCGUAAAGCUCUGUUGUAAGAGAAGAACGAGUGUGAGAGUGGAAAGUUCACACUGUGACGGUAUCUUACCAGAAAGGGACGGCUAACUACGUGCCAGCAGCCGCGGUAAUACGUAGGUCCCGAGCGUUGUCCGGAUUUAUUGGGCGUAAAGCGAGCGCAGGCGGUUAGAUAAGUCUGAAGUUAAAGGCUGUGGCUUAACCAUAGUACGCUUUGGAAACUGUUUAACUUGAGUGCAAGAGGGGAGAGUGGAAUUCCAUGUGUAGCGGUGAAAUGCGUAGAUAUAUGGAGGAACACCGGUGGCGAAAGUGGCUCUCUGGCUUGUAACUGACGNUGAGGCUCGAAAGCGUGGGGAGCAAACAGG
RNAcentral lists this ribosomal RNA (763 nucleotides) under uncultured Streptococcus sp. Its description in RNAcentral is "bacterial SSU rRNA". It matches the Rfam family "Bacterial small subunit ribosomal RNA", at positions 28 to 776 of the family's 1533-position model. Lineage: Bacteria; Bacillati; Bacillota; Bacilli; Lactobacillales; Streptococcaceae. The record is from RNAcentral.